Non-coding RNA from Notechis scutatus (mainland tiger snake), 276 nucleotides. NCBI's taxonomy places the organism in Eukaryota, Metazoa, Chordata, Lepidosauria, Squamata, Elapidae. The record is from RefSeq and is a predicted model, not a curated record.
AGGCUGGUCUGUGUCACUGACUGGUCCCGGUUGGAAGGGGGAGCCCUCCCCCUCCUCACCGAGGGGAGGGGGCUCCUCGGAGCGCAGUUGGGUCCACCUGGAAUGGAGAGACCCUCCUCGGGAGCCCCCUGACUCAAAUAGGACUCCUAAUGGGGGAGGGGGGGUUCUGCUUUCUUCCCGCAGGGAUUUGGAGGAGGGGGAGAUCGGAAGUGGCCUUGGAGGAGGGAUGGACGCCGAGAGAGGGGACGAUGCCGAACUCCGGCUGAUCCUGGUGGG